UACGGAGGGGGCGAGCGUUAUUCGGAAUUAUUGGGCGUAAAGGGCGCGUAGGCGGCUUGAUGUGUCAAAGGUGAAAUCCCUCGGCUCAACUGAGGAACUGCCUUUGAAACUGUCUGGCUUGAGGCCGGGAGAGGGUAGCGGAAUUCCCAGUGUAGCGGUGAAAUGCGUAGAUACUGGGAGGAACACCGGUGGCGAAGGCGGCUACCUGGACCGGUUCUGACGCUGAUGCGCGAAAGCGUGGGGAGCGAACAGG
This 253-nucleotide ribosomal RNA is filed under the name uncultured bacterium. RNAcentral describes it as "partial 16S ribosomal RNA". It matches the Rfam family "Bacterial small subunit ribosomal RNA", at positions 524 to 776 of the family's 1533-position model. The record is from RNAcentral.